This is a long non-coding RNA of Hemicordylus capensis (graceful crag lizard), 2231 nucleotides long. RefSeq lists it as uncharacterized. The transcript has 5 exons. Lineage: Eukaryota; Metazoa; Chordata; Lepidosauria; Squamata; Cordylidae. The record is from RefSeq and is a predicted model, not a curated record.
AACUUUACUCACUGUUUUGAACGCGACGGAGAAAGGAGCUCGCAAGCAGAGCUCAUUUCUCGGGCAAGCCUCUUCCCGGACUGUUGCAUUGGGCGUAAAGGACGCCCAGCGGCAGUCUGGGCAGUGUCUUUGCCGAGAGAGGAGCUCUUUUUGUGAGCUCCUUUUUCCUCGGUCGUCGGGGUUGGUUCUUCUUUGGCCCAUGUCUUGAGUGAUCUUGGGUACAUUUCACAGUGUGUAAAAGAAAGGUUUCUACAAAAACAGAUGAGUCUACAAAGGGUGGAUGGAAGACUGACUUGGCUCACAUUUUAGCCCGUCAAAGCAUUAAGAAGCAAAUGCCCUGAGAUAAGACCCUCGUCACUACAUUGUUUAAUAACAUGAGUCUUCUAGAAAAUAUGAGAUAAGACACAGGAAUUUGACUGCGUUCCAGUUGGGUGCAGUUCCUUAGAUCAUUAGAGAGUGUGCCAGAAUGAGUGCUCAAAGCAAGAGUUUAAAUGAGCACCCGGCACAGGUCACAGGCACUUGGCUGCUCAGCACAGCAUGGGCCAGAAGCGACCAUACCUCCCAGAACAGACUAAAGAGGAUUUGGGGGCCCCAGGGCUUGUGGAGGCCCUGGACUUUGGCCCUGAAGUCCAGGGAAAAUUGACAGUGCAGAAACCAGAAACCUGCAUGAAUGAAGGCAGCAUUUAAAAGAGCUCUCUGGGAAGUGUGCAGGCAACCAGAAGAGCCUUGGACCUAAAACAGGAAGAAGGGAGACCUAGCCUGUGGAAGAAGGAGGAACAACGUAAUGCGGAAGAAUCUUGUGCCAGCAGUGCUCCUACUCCUGCGUGAACUGAGCUUAUCAUGUGUCUCUCCCCAUCCCUAGUAAUCCUGCUAACUGUGCAGAGAAACACUUUUUAAAAAUGGUUACUCUAGCCCUAUUCAGAAGCCUUAUGAAGACGUUAAUUUUAAAAUAGCUCUACAUGAUUACAGCAUCUAAAGCACAGCCAGAAGUCCCACUCUGACCCCAUCAUUCACCCCUGCAGCCCUCCACUCAUGAAUACAGCAGUGUUUGUUUGAAGAGGUGAACACUGCUUCUGUGAUGGUGGGCACUUCCCUGAUCAUGAAUGCUGCCAUAUCUGUGAAGAGCACAAGUGGGGUGGGGGUGGGUGAGUGAUGCGCUGGGGUGAGACUUCUGCAGCGUUUUGGGAUGCUUGUACUUGUGUACAGAGUCCUUUUUAAUAAUGUAUGAAUAGGGAUUUAUAUUUAGCAGGGGUGUAGCAAUUGUUCCUAUUCAUUCCAGCAUAAUGCACCUUCAGUGGUUGUUGCUGGUGUUCUCUUUUAUGUUUCUUUUUAGAUUGCGUGCACAUUUGGGACAAGGAACCAUUCUUCUUCUCAUUUUCCUCAUUCCUUUUCAGCAUUGCAUGCUACCUUACAAUGACCGUAACACAAGCAGUGAACUGCUUUGUGAACUUGUUGAAAAACAGAAUAACGGUGGAUGAUGAUGUUUGAAGGAAGUUGCUUAUGUGGCUGAUGCUGUGGACUAAGCAGACAAUGUACUGUAGUUACUUCUCAUGCCAAUAUCUCCCUGAUGUCUUAAAGUAAACUCAAUUUUUAUUUGGGCAAUUAGAAAAAUAAUAGUGGUGAGGGACAAAAAAUUUCAACUACAGGAAAUCUUUUACCUUCAAUGUACUUGUUUAUCUCCUUAAUAUAACCACUAAAUGGGGUCCAACGGAUGCCAUGAAAACAUGUAAGUCACGCAUGUUGUAAAUGCUGCCCAAAGGCUUUCCAUGGUAAUAAAAUAAAGGGCAUAGCAGAAGAUCUAUUUCAAGAUAAGAAACCUUUGCUGUCACUUCCUGUUUUAUCUUGCCUGUAUUUCAGCUCAGUCAUUCUGUGUUGCACUAUUUUGUUUCCUCUCCACAGUAUUACAGUCAUAAUGACCCUUUGUUCUCCAAUUAUAACCGAGAUGGAGCAAGUAGACAGUGACGAUGUAUGUCUUGUGGAGCUCUGGACUAAUUGUAUUAAUCUGAUAGUUGAUGCUUCCUGGAUUGUCCUUCACGGGGUCGGAUUGCAAAACUGAUCAAGAUGUACACACUUAAGCAAAGAUGUCAAAUUGGGGUUAUGGAAAGCAGAAGUUGUGUGUUGCGAAUGGGACAGAGUAUUCUGUAUGCUGGACACUGUCACUCUGAGGUUAUUUUAAGGCCAUGUUAAGGCCUUCCCAUCCCCCAUACAGUCAAAAUAAAAAGUUUCACUGA